GACGAACGCUGGCGGCGUGCUUAACACAUGCAAGUCGAACGGAAAGGCCCUGCUUUUGUGGGGUGCUCGAGUGGCGAACGGGUGAGUAACACGUGAGUAACCUGCCCUUGACUUUGGGAUAACUUCAGGAAACUGGGGCUAAUACCGGAUAGGAUCUCCUGCUUCAUGGUGGGGGUUGGAAAGUUUCGGCGGUUGGGGAUGGACUCGCGGCUUAUCAGCUUGUUGGUGGGGUAGUGGCUUACCAAGGCUUUGACGGGUAGCCGGCCUGAGAGGGUGACCGGCCAAAUUGGGACUGAGAUAAGGCACAGACUCCUACGGGAGGCAGCAGUGGGGAAUAUUGCACAAGGGGCGGAAGCAUGAUGCAGCAACGCCGCGUGCGGGAUGACGGCAUUCGGGUUGUAAACCGCUUUCGCCUGUGACGAAGCGUGAGUGACGGUAAUGGGUAAAGAAGCACCGGCUAACUACGUG
This 468-nucleotide ribosomal RNA is filed under the name uncultured bacterium. RNAcentral's name for it is "partial 16S ribosomal RNA". It matches the Rfam family "Bacterial small subunit ribosomal RNA", at positions 28 to 507 of the family's 1533-position model. The record is from RNAcentral.